This 748-nucleotide ribosomal RNA is filed under the name Cladosporium sp. 2 BRO-2013. RNAcentral describes it as "eukaryotic LSU rRNA". The stretch from base 256 to 409 matches the Rfam family "5.8S ribosomal RNA". The record is from RNAcentral. Lineage: Eukaryota; Fungi; Ascomycota; Dothideomycetes; Cladosporiales; Cladosporiaceae.
ACGACCACCCAGGGCCGGAAAGUUGGUCAAACCCGGUCAUUUAGAGGAAGUAAAAGUCGUAACAAGGUCUCCGUAGGUGAACCUGCGGAGGGAUCAUUACAAGUGACCCCGGUCUAACCACCGGGAUGUUCAUAACCCUUUGUUGUCCGACUCUGUUGCCUCCGGGGCGACCCUGCCUUCGGGCGGGGGCUCCGGGUGGACACUUCAAACUCUUGCGUAACUUUGCAGUCUGAGUAAACUUAAUUAAUAAAUUAAAACUUUUAACAACGGAUCUCUUGGUUCUGGCAUCGAUGAAGAACGCAGCGAAAUGCGAUAAGUAAUGUGAAUUGCAGAAUUCAGUGAAUCAUCGAAUCUUUGAACGCACAUUGCGCCCCCUGGUAUUCCGGGGGGCAUGCCUGUUCGAGCGUCAUUUCACCACUCAAGCCUCGCUUGGUAUUGGGCAACGCGGUCCGCCGCGUGCCUCAAAUCGACCGGCUGGGUCUUCUGUCCCCUAAGCGUUGUGGAAACUAUUCGCUAAAGGGUGUUCGGGAGGCUACGCCGUAAAACAACCCCAUUUCUAAGGUUGACCUCGGAUCAGGUAGGGAUACCCGCUGAACUUAAGCAUAUCAAUAAGCGGAGGAAAAGAAACCAACAGGGAUUGCUCUAGUAACGGCGAGUGAAGCAGCAAUAGCUCAAAUUUGAAAUCUGGCGUCUUCGACGUCCGAGUUGUAAUUUGUAGAGGAUGCUUCUGAGUAACCACCGACCUAAG